RNAcentral lists this ribosomal RNA (796 nucleotides) under uncultured bacterium. RNAcentral's name for it is "bacterial SSU rRNA". It matches the Rfam family "Bacterial small subunit ribosomal RNA", at positions 111 to 902 of the family's 1533-position model. The record is from RNAcentral.
UAAUGCUUAGGAAUCUGCCAUUUAGUGGGGGACAACAUUCCGAAAGGAAUGCUAAUACCGCAUACGUCCUACGGGAGAAAGCAGGGGAUCUUCGGACCUUGCGCUAAAUGAUGAGCCUAAGUCGGAUUAGCUAGUUGGUGGGGUNAAGGCCUACCAAGGCGACGAUCUGUAGCGGGUCUGAGAGGAUGAUCCGCCACACUGGGACUGAGACACGGCCCAGACUCCUACGGGAGGCAGCAGUGGGGAAUAUUGGACAAUGGGCGGAAGCCUGAUCCAGCCAUGCCGCGUGUGUGAAGAAGGCCUUUUGGUUGUAAAGCACUUUAAGCGAGGAGGAGGCUACUAGUACUAAUACUACUGGAUAGUGGACGUUACUCGCAGAAUAAGCACCGGCUAACUCUGUGCCAGCAGCCGCGGUAAUACAGAGGGUGCGAACGUUAAUCGGAUUUACUGGGCGUAAAGCGUGCGUAGGCGGCUUUUUAAGUCGGAUGUGAAAUCCCCGAGCUUAACUUGGGAAUUGCAUUCGAUACUGGGAAGCUAGAGUAUGGGAGAGGAUGGUAGAAUUCCAGGUGUAGCGGUGAAAUGCGUAGAGAUCUGGAGGAAUACCGAUGGCGAAGGCAGCCAUCUGGCCUAAUACUGACGCUGAGGUACGAAAGCAUGGGGAGCAAACAGGAUUAGAUACCCUGGUAGUCCAUGCCGUAAACGAUGUCUACUAGCCGUUGGGGCCUUUGAGGCUUUAGUGGCGCAGCUAACGCGAUAAGUAGACCGCCUGGGGAGUACGGUCGCAAGACUAAAACUC